This 253-nucleotide ribosomal RNA is filed under the name uncultured bacterium. RNAcentral describes it as "partial 16S ribosomal RNA". It matches the Rfam family "Bacterial small subunit ribosomal RNA", at positions 524 to 776 of the family's 1533-position model. The record is from RNAcentral.
UACGUAGGGUGCAAGCGUUAAUCGGAAUUACUGGGCGUAAAGCGUGCGCAGGCGGCUUUGUAAGUUUGUCGUGAAAGCCCCGGGCUCAACCUGGGAAUUGCGAUGAAGACUGCAAGGCUUGAAUCUGGCAGAGGGGGGUAGAAUUCCACGUGUAGCAGUGAAAUGCGUAGAGAUGUGGAGGAACACCGAUGGCGAAGGCAGCCCCCUGGGUCAAGAUUGACGCUCAUGCACGAAAGCGUGGGGAGCAAACAGG